AUGCUCUGCGAGAGGCCGCCCUGUGGGACUGGGGGCGGGGGGUCCCAUAGCUGUCCUUCGAGUUCCCAGCCUUCCCUCUUCCUAGCACCGUCUUCCUUCGGAAGCUGCCCUCUCGGAGAAGAAACGGGGCUUCUGACCCUCCUGGCCCCAGGCCCCACGUGUGACCUGUCAUCGGCCCUGGCCUGGACCUUCCUUUCUGGCCUGGCUGCAAGUGGGGGCCGCCGGCACUGCCGGCCCAGGCCAGCGCGCCACCACGACCCCGUUCCACGCCGGCACUGGGCUUCCUUGGCCUCUCGCAACCAUCGUUCCUGUGCGCCCCCCACGCUCCUCGCCUCAGCGAAGCCGGCCGCAGGUGCGCCGGACGUAGGAGGCCUGCAGACCCUGAGCUGAGCUCGGAGUCAGGAGAUCCCCAGCAAAGCAGAGGUCUGGAAAGGCUGCCGCGGGGGCAACACUCGGUUCCGCCUUUGCCAACGUAAGAAGUGUGCGUGCGGAUGGAAGCAUGCUGUGCUCAGCCAUCCCGGGGGCUGUCCUUGCCCUCGGGGCUCAGAUGGGACCUCAGCAGGACCAUGGAGGGUGUGUUGGGGCGCGCCUUGGUCGUCCUCUUACAGAGACUUCUGGAUCUAAGAUAAACACCAAAAAGUAAAGCAGAAGGAAACAUGCAUCCGGAAUGGGGGCGACAGGACCCACCCUGAGCUCCUGCACCGGCUUUACCGACACCGUGCCGUUGUUCACGCUCUAGCCCUCGGUCUGGUUCAAGAGCAGAACCGUGGAGACUGAUGGAGACAUGCCCGCAAACAACACUGAGGAAGGCCGAUAGCUGAGACGAGGGAGAAGCACGUAGAUGCAUACGUGUGUGUGUGUGUGUGGGCACACGCGUGGUCUGCACACGUGUAGGUGUACGAAUGUAUCUGUCUGUCUUCCACCUCUGUCUGUCCAUCCAGCCUUCCAGCCAUGAGUGUGUCAGGACACACAGACACACAGACACACACACCACACAGCAGUCAUAAGAACCGAAAAGGAAAUUUGGGAAAUCCCCUCUAUUCUUCACAGCCCAUAAGGACGUUGGCAUCUAUGGAACAAGAUGCCGGUGGAUUGUUCCGGAAAUGACUGGGCUGUCAGGAGAGCACCCCGGUGUUUUAGAAGGAAAGAAGCCUAUGAUGCGCUUGCUACAAUUUUUAUUCCAAAAUGGGUAUACAUUUUUUUUCCCUCAAAUUUUUGUAUUUGAAGAAUUUGUCUUUGUUUGCCUAGACACACUGCUGAGGGGUGUUGAUGAAACGGUAAAAAGAAAAAAAAAAAAAAGAUGAAAUGAUAAAAAAAAAAAUACAAAAAAAGCAAUGGUAUCCAUAGCGCAUCCGCUGUGUGCCCGGGGGUGAGCGAGGACUUCUGCGUGCAUCCUCACACCGGGGCCGUCACUGUCCCCCUGACCUGCUGGGGACCCGUCCAUGUAGAGGGUCUAGCCCUUUGCCCAGGGCUCUGCAGCUGGGAGACGACACAUCUGGGAACAAUGCACCCUGUUUCGUUAGGGCACCGGCAGCCUCCACCUGCCGGCACGGCCGUUCCCCGGAGCUGAGAGCCACUGUUGCCCAGGAGACGUGGGGAAAUGUGGUCCUUGGCACCAGCCCCACCCCAGCUCAGCCGCGAGCCCUGGGAGCCUUUACGCCCGACUGUUUAAGAGUUCAGCCAAGCAGAGAAAGGCCGGGCCUCCUACUUGCUUUAAUCCCCUCACCGUUAAUUGUCUGGCUGCAUUUUCUUCAAGAGGUAACAAAGGGUAAAAUCCAUGCAGUUGCUUUUCUGUGUAGCUGGUUGUAAAUAUUCAGCCAGAAUUUGACUGACAGUGCAAUCUUAUGUUCCCCAAAGCUUGUGCCGUAUGUGAAUAUUUUAAUUAGGAUUGUAACAAGCUAUUGAGAAAGUUUGAGCUAAAUUGGUUCAGCUGUUUUUGCAUUAGUGAAGCAUGAAAAGAAAUUUUUUUUCAUCUAUUAGAAAAUAUCCCUUAAAAAAAUAAAAAAAACAAAACGAGCCAAACCAACUGAAAAUCAGCCAGUUUGGGAUACUUCUUUAAAGUCAGCAGAUUGGCUCUCGGUUGGGAUUAACUGCACACAUUUGAAAAAUGUGAAAUUUAGUUCA
RNAcentral lists this long non-coding RNA (2124 nucleotides) under Mustela putorius furo (domestic ferret). RNAcentral describes it as "lncRNA (ENSMPUG00000027274.1)". The record is from RNAcentral. Lineage: Eukaryota; Metazoa; Chordata; Mammalia; Carnivora; Mustelidae.